Molecule: RNA transcript, 6264 nt
Organism: Ailuropoda melanoleuca (giant panda)
Lineage: Eukaryota; Metazoa; Chordata; Mammalia; Carnivora; Ursidae
Gene: COA1
Gene name: cytochrome c oxidase assembly factor 1
Exons: 9
Source: RefSeq, a predicted model, not a curated record
CUCCUCGCGGGCAUACCGGCCCGCGGGCUUUUCCCGUCCCCUCUGCGGCGCCGGAAGGAGAGCACAAACGUUCUGCUGCGUGCUGCUCAGAUCCCUGACAGAUGCUGGCAGAGAAGUUGGAAUUUGAAUGACCUGUGCAGUCUUUCAUGGAGAUGACCGUCUGUGGGAAAAGGAAACUCUAGGACAGUUUUUGAGCUAGAGCUGAUGUAACACAUCCCAGGGAAGCAGAACUUGGAACUCAGGUAGCUUUAAGCAGGAGGUGGUCACAGGACUGGAAGUGGAAACGGGAAAGCAUUUAUGUCAAUCUCAUGAAGCCUUAUGAAAUGAAUGGCACCUGCUAGACACUGAAAAAUCUCAGCAUGUUCAAAUAUGUAUUCACAGAUAUGUGUGCACGUGUGUGCGCGCACACACACACACACACACACACACACUGGACUUGUAAGUCUCCAGGAAGCAAAAUGCCAUGGUCUCUGGGGAAACUGGCCUUUUCUCUGAGUGUAGUGGCUGGCGGGAGCUGCACCCUUACAUAUUACCUUAUACAAAAAGCUUUUACCAAGACGUCCUAUUACCAGCUGGCAUUGGAGCAGCUGCACAGCCACCCCGAGGCCCUGGAAGCUCUGGGCGCUCCUCUCAACGUCCACUAUCUCCACCUCAUCGACAGGGCCAACUUCGUGGACAUCGCCAAUGCCCAGUUGAAGAUUCCUGUCUCUGGAUCCAAGGCAGAAGGCCAUCUCCAUGUCAGCUCAUCCAGACAUGCCCCCUUUCAGAGGUGGCACCUUCAGGAAGUCUUCUUAAAGCUUGAGGAUGGUCAGCAGAUUCCUGUGUUCAAGGUCAGUGGGAACACUGAUCAUGAAGUAAAAAAGGAGUAAAGAUGAUCAAAAAGACUCCGCUUUCUCCAGACUCAGCCUUACGUCGUCACCAUGUGCCCUCCGUGGCUGUGAGCCAGGUGUCCAGCCACAGGGGGCAUUGUAUGUGCCGGCCUAUGGUAAUUUUGGUAUAAUUCUAAUUUGACCCCGACUAUUGUGGGUUUUUUUAUUUAAUCAGAAAUGAAAAUUUUACUAUAGAUAUAUAAGAAUUUAUUUGAAAAUUCACUGUCUAAAAACAAAGUACGGAAUAAAAGGAAUCAGUAUCAAUAAGAUGGUGUUAAUUUUUGCCAGCUCUCAUCUUUCCUUUUUCCUCUCCCCCCACCUCCCCAUAGUUUUCAGUUCCAUCAAUGAGAAGACCAAGACUUAACUAGCACUGAAGAGGUCUUUAAUUGUAACAUUAGAAUGCCCUGCCCUGAAUGCAUGUUGCUAAGUAGCUUGUGAACAUUCUCAAUCCCUUUGGAAUAUUUUUUUUUGCUUCACUGCUGUUGUUUUAUCCUAUUUCUGUUUUAGUCACCAACUGUCUGCCUGAUUGAAGAUUUGCAAAAUAACUGCUUUAAUUCAGACAUUUUGGAAGCUUAAAAUAUUUACAUGUGUACAUAGCAUAUGCAAAACUAACUCAGGAAUGGUAGUUUAAAGCUAACCGGUCCUUAUCCUUCUGUUUUACAAACAACCCCAUAUUCGAGAAGCACGCCUUUAGGUUUCACCUGUUUUAUAAGGGAACAGUAUUAUGAAGUCGAAGAUCUUCCUUCCCUCUGAACACUGAAGCUGAUGAAAAUCAGAAAUCUGAUACCUUUGCUUUGAAAAGGCCAGUUUCACCCCCUCAGUGUUAUUAGGCUUAAUAUGGUUAUAAUUGCCUACAAUAAAGGACAUUCAUGAGCUCUUUUCCUACAUUCUUAAUAUUCGUUGGAGGGAAGCCUUUCAGAAAAUAUUGAGCUUAAACGUGCUGGUAGAGCGUGAGGCCUUUAAUUGUUGCAAGUUCUUUCUAUUCUGGAGCUUGUUUCUUUAAAAAGUAUGUUCUUUGAAUAGAUUUUAGAGUGAAAAGUGAGUCUUUUUCCCUGAGAGCAUUUUUUCCCUGUGUUUUUGAUAAACAUUACAGUCUGCACAGUCUUUUAAAGUAAAUGGUAACGUCAUAUACAGAGUUUUGUGCUGCUUUAUUCUUUAAAAGUUACACACUGUUUAUUGUAUAUGUGUCGGUUUAUAUAUUGCUUCAUAUCUGAUUGUUCUUUAACUUUUACUUCCUUUGCUGGUUAUUUUUCAUGCUGUUGCCAAAUCAUAGAAAACCAGGGCCUGGGUGGGCCAUCUGAAGUCAAAGCAAGUGACAGUUUUUGUUUCUGUAGAGUUUGAAUUAAUUAAGAGACUUUCUAAUCUAACUGACAGGAAAUAGUAUUAUAUCAUGAAAAGAUCCUUGAUUUCUCUUUGGAGGUCGCCAUCUUGGGCACUUUUUCCAGUUAAGUUUACUUCCAUGUAUGUUCUGAUUACCUUCUUGUAGGAUUGUGAACAGGCCGGAACUUGGGUCAUUGCAGUAGGCAGCCCUUGGCUUUCCUUGUUUGAGCAUAGCAAUGACGUGUGUUUGCAGCCCACUGCUUCCUGUGUAUCCAGUCAUCACUGUGACUCAGCCAUUGACUCCCAUGAACUACCCUGAGGACAUCUUGUCAUCCACAUUGUCAUCAGAGGAAAAAGCAACUCUUCCCCAUAAGCAGUUUGAGCAAGUGCCCCUUGCAUACACCCUGUAAUCGACAGCACAGCCCAGGGACUGGAGAAGGGGCCUCACUAGAAUUGUAAGAAUUAUAAAAACCGUGGAAGAGAGAGCACAGCCAACAAAUCAGAAAUCGCAGCCAGCGAAUGGUAGUAUGACUCCCGUGUGCCUCUCCUCCGCAAGACGCGGCAUGCUCUCUUCCCUGCAAGUUGCUUCCCAGCUGGCAUGCUGAGUGGGUGGGGAGGGACUGGAGAGUUAGAGUCUUAGGAGACUGUGCCGAAAGAUCUGCGAGCAGCGGUGCUAGCGUGGUGUAGAAGAGUGAGUUCCUGUUCAGGAGAUCUAGGAGUGGUGCUCUGAUGGGCCUUGAGAGCUGAGGUUGCAGACAAGUGGAAAAGCCACACAAGAAAAGGCCUCAGCAGGAGAAAUGUGAGCUAUGCCCCAGAACGAAGAUAUCCAGGUUGGCCAGGGUGUAGGUUAGCUGAAGACAUAGUAAAAGAAAGCCCUGGAACGUGAGUUGGCCAUAGCAUGUGCCAGCAUGAGCAUUUUGCACGUGGCUUGUGGCCAUCGUAGAUUCUGGGGUAAGCGUAUGAGUCCACAGUUAAUGAAGGUUUAAGAGACUGUGAUGAAUGUGUCACGACAGGGCCGAUAGGACUAUCAAUAAAUCACACAUCUUAUUGUCAUUUAUUCCAUUUUUCUAGAAUUGGCCUCCUCAUACCUCUCUUCCCUUCAACCAUCCUGCAGUCUGGAGAUUUAAUAAUACCCGAUAAGACAAGGUUUUGUUACUCCUGGUUUUGGUAAAGUUGCUUACAGCAAAGGUGAAACUGAAUUACACGUACAUGAAAGAGCCAGAACUUGACAGAUGGUGGGGCUCUGGUCUCCGGCAUAGUGGAAAGGUCGAGGUAAUGCUCGAGAGGCCGCAGCUCGAGGGGUUUCUGAAGGCAGCCAGCCUUAGGCCACUUGACUGUUUGGUGUUUUCAGUUUGUCUGUAUGAAAAAUAUGACUAAAUACUGAGCAGGCACCUGCCUUACCAGUGAGGCUGUGUUUACACUGCUCGUUGGGCUGCUUGGGCAAAGCUGCUGGUCCACACAGGAUGCCUGGUGACUGCGGGGUUCAAGGAGGCGGCGGAAGGAUGUUGGGAAAACCUCCAGUCCCCACCCACAGGAUUCUCACCUCCUUAGUAAGCUGCUCACAGCCCAGGCUUGUCUUUGGGCCGACUUCGGCCGAGCUGUUCAGUUGAAAGUACUGUCAGGAACAUGUACAGAAAGACUGUGGCAUUUUGCAGUCCAGGGUGGAAGAGUGGGAGACAGAAACACAGGCCUGUCGGACGUAGGCAUGUCUCACGGAUCGCAUACAGUGUAUUACAUGUCUCUGUCACUGAGUGAUACGCCUUUGGGGCAGAAAUUAUCCUUCCUUAGCUACCGAGUUCGUGUCGGUCACCUUGCAGUCUUAAUGAAAGUAAUUAUUUACUUCCAAGUUAGUUUUAUAAAGUGAGAAACUGUGGACCAGUCUCUCCCAUGAAUGUUGCUGCAAAAUUCUGAAUUUUAGCAAACUGAAUCCAGUGACCUGUAGUAAGUGGUGUGCUGUAUUAUUUUGCACAAAGUACUGUGGUGGCCAUCCCUUGGCAGUGCCCUCCUCUGUGGGAAGAUUAUGUGUCCCCGCCUUGAACUUAGGUGUCACCCUGUGGCUUGUUCUGGCCAAUGAAUUUGUGAGCCGAAGUGAUAGACAAGACUUCUGAGUAGAAGUUUUAAAUGCCAGCCCUUGGUUCACCAUGGCCUCUUUUCUGUCUUCCCUAAAAUCAGGAAUGUUCUAGAUAGUAGCUGCUCGGGGGACGUACGUUCUGGAAUGAAGAUGAUAUGUAACAGAGCUUACAGCUGACGCACGAUGGGACAUGUAGCUUGAACGAGAAAUCAUGGUUGCAAAUGCAGAUGUUGACGGCAAGAGCAUGGUGGUAUCACAAUGAGCACAGACUAAUCACAAGCGAUGUGAAACGGCUACUCUACUGAUGGUACUUCAGGAAUUACGGCUUUAUGAGAAAGUUGCUCUUGCCGGGGGCAAGAGGUAAUAGUUGAGUAGAAGACAAGACUAAUUCCUGUCCUGGUCCUGACAUCGACUUUAGUAUCUGGAUAUCUGUCACGCAAACUUCAGCAGUUUGACAACUCCUUUACUGCUGUUAGUACUGCACACUGCACUUACGGGGUACGGGACGUGACUACACCGUGUGUCCUCAGCGCGUGCCUGAACUCAACAGGAGGCUAUAAAGACUCGUCUGUGUUCAGCAAUACUCAACUACUGCGUCUGUUUUAUAGACUCAGUGUAGACAAAGCCACUUUUAGGGACAUUUUCAGAACAUUCAUUAUUCAAAACAAAGCAGCAGGGCUAAGAUGGAGUAGAUAUGCUUCUCCUUGGGAUUCUUCCCACUAAGUACAGCUAAGAGCCCUGGACACAUAUAAAAUAAAAAUAAGACAGUUCCAAAAGAUGAAGAGAAGAAUGCAGAUUGGCCGAGGACCUUGGGAAUAACACAGCAGUGAGUUCCCUGAGGUUUGUUGUUGCUGUUUGGUGGUGGUGGUGGGGUUGUUUGUUUGCUUUUGCCUACAUAUCUCAGGGUGUGAGUAGAAUGAGCAACCCAGAAAUACCAAUGGGAGCAGACAACAGAAGCCAGAAGCCAGCUGUCAAGCCAAAGGACCAGAAAAGGCAACCUAUAAAGGCAAAGAACUGUUAGACAGUGAUUGCCAAACACCAUGGAAAAACCAUGGCCUCAGUGCCACCCUGUCCGCAAAGGCCGUGUGGAGAGCCUAGACUUCCUCCCUUGCUUGGCUGUAGUGUGGUCUCCCCAGCCCAGUCCCCUGUUGGGGUGGCAUAGAAGAUCUAGGCGGGCGCUGGGGCUUUCACUCCUGCCCCAUGGUGUCAGUGGAGGCCACAUGGGGAGCCUGCACUUUCACCCCCCUCCAAAAGGAAUAAGGCCUUGGUAUUAAUGGAGCCCAUGUUCUGCAGGAGGAAGCAGUAAUGAGGCACCCUGUCCUCUGCCUGGUGUCAGAGGAGGCUGAAUGCUGAGUCUGACCCUUCACCUCCACCUGGCAGUCGUGAGGCAAUAGAAGGACCCCCACUUUGCCCACCUGUGUGGUACCGGAGAAGGCCUGCUAAAACCAAAGAUUUAAAUAAGAUCCAGAGUCUCACCCAAUGUCCAGUACGAAGUCACAGUCAUACCGAGAACGAGGAAUCUCAACCCAAAUGAGAAAAGACAACAGAUACCAACACGGAGAUGACACAGAUGUUGGAAUUACCAGCAAGGAUAUUAAAGCAGCUAUCAAAACAUUUUUAAAAACCUUCAAAGAAAAAUUAUGAACAUGCUUGAAGCAUGAAAAUGGUCUCAGCAAAGAAACAGAAGAAUUGAAUGGAAAUCUGAGAAUGGAAAAAUAAAAAUCUCACUGGAUGGGCUGAACAGCAGAGCGGAGAAGAAAAGAAAGAAUCAGGGACUCAAAGAUAAAAUGGAAAUGACCCAAUAUGAAUAGAGACAACAGCCCAAAAGUACCUAUGGGUCUCUAACAAAAAGAUCUAACAUUCAUGUCAUCAGAGUCCCAGAAAGAGGAGAGAAGGUGGAGGUACAGAAAUUAAAAAAAAAAAAAAAAAAAAAAGGGGCUGAAAAGUUUCUAAAUUGGCAAAAGGCAUAAACCUAUAUAUUCAAGAAGCAAGGUGAACUCCAAA